This 253-nucleotide ribosomal RNA is filed under the name uncultured bacterium. RNAcentral describes it as "partial 16S ribosomal RNA". It matches the Rfam family "Bacterial small subunit ribosomal RNA", at positions 524 to 776 of the family's 1533-position model. The record is from RNAcentral.
GACAGAGGGGGCGAGCGUUGUCCGGAGUCACUGGGCGUAAAGCGCGCGCAGGCGGCAACCUAAGUUUCGUGUGAAAGCCCCCGGCUCAACCGGGGGAGGCCAUGGCAAACUGGGUCGCUCGAGCUGCGGAGAGGCCCCUCGAAGUGCCGGUGUAGCGGUGAAAUGCGUAGAGAUCGGCAGGAAGACCAAGGGGGAAGCCAGGGGGCUGGCCGCAGGCUGACGCUGAGGCGCGACAGCGUGGGGAGCAAACCGG